Molecule: long non-coding RNA, 761 nt
Filed under: Sus scrofa (pig)
Lineage: Eukaryota; Metazoa; Chordata; Mammalia; Artiodactyla; Suidae
Description: lncRNA (ENSSSCG00070015819.1)
Source: RNAcentral
AAGGGGGCAGUCAUCCCAAUGGGCCUUGCAAGAAGUACGGGUUAAUAUGGUUACGGCAUUUUCUUCUAGGAACAAAUAUGAUCCCACAUUUAGCUCCACAGGAAGUCAACAAGCACAAGAAACAACAGGGCAAAGGUGUUCCAGAAAAGCGAGCCAGAGCACAUGAGCACCAGGGGCCCUUUCAAAAUAAAGGCAGACCGAGAGGAAGGUAGGCUGCUCCCCCAAGAGUCUGAUGUGGGACCUCAGUGGGAGUUCCAGGCUUGGACCAAAGGCUGUUCGUGACCUUUGUCCAACUGCUACAAGCUCUUAAAAAAAGACAGUCCAGAUUUGCUUCUUUCAUCCUGUAACAGGAAGCUCUUAAGCAGGGCAUGCGGCAAAGUCCCUGACCAUGUGUCUCCUGUCUCUGCAGGGCUCAGUGCAUGCAAAGGGAGGAUCACCCUCUGUCCAGCCAGAGGGGUGCGCCACCCCAGCUGCCAGUCUGCACGGCUGCCCAGACUCCAGGGUAAUGUAAGAAGGGAUGACCACAAUGACACCAAAGUCACCUCACUGUUUUCCCUGGACCGAGUCAGGGCUCAUCAUACAAUAGAAGAACAAGCCUCAGGAGACUCCAGGAAUACACAGACAUGGAGGUAAAAACUCAAAAAAGAAAUGAAAUCAAGCAGAAGCCUGGACGGGAAAGAGAUCUGGAUAAACAGAGGUGAGAGGAGAAACAAAUGGACUGACACUGCAAUAAAAGUGAAGAAAAGAAGGAGAAAACCCCA